Molecule: transfer RNA, 3161 nt
Filed under: Leishmania donovani
Lineage: Eukaryota; Euglenozoa; Kinetoplastea; Trypanosomatida; Trypanosomatidae
Description: LdHU3.16.1450
Rfam family: tRNA (bases 2950-3021)
Source: RNAcentral
UAGCAGCAGCACGGCACCCAGUCCCCUGCGAUCAUCCCAUCCACCACCACCGACCCACCAACUCGCCUGCUGCGACAGUGCUGCGACGCAGAGCACACACAUACCCCUCCCCCACCCCCUCUCCAUACAUACACACACACACAUACGCCAUCCCUCUCUACCGGCAAGGUAUUGACGGGUAUAUCUCGCCUCUUUCGCUUCGCCUCCCCUCCCCUUCCUUUUCGGUUUCUGUUGCGUCGUUGCUACUAGCGUUUGUGUUGCAUGUUCUGCCCCGCCUCUUGCUCUCCCUCGAUCACCACCACCAUCACCAGCGCACGCACACACUCUCCAUCCCUCUUAUGGUUUGCUCUGUGCCCUGUCGUUGCUGGUCCACCCACGCGCAGACGCCACAGAUUCGUGCUCGCAUCCCGUCUUUCCCCCCUCCCACCCCCCCCACCUCUCUCUCUCUGCCUUCAUCGGCGCACUGCUUUUCUCUUCACCGUUUCACGCGCAUCGUCGAACCUCACCGUCAUCGCAGCACUGAGUGCUGUCCCCUACUGCGUCUGCCGUUGCGUUCCCCUGUAGAUCGGCGUGGCUCAUCGUGAUCACCAGCACCAUGCACCUUCUUGUUGAUGGCGACUAUUUACUCAGCGGCUUCCGGCCCACCUCGGAGGAGGAAGUGAAGGCGGCGGUGGAGCGGCUCAUGACGGCGAUUGAGCAACAGCUGCUGCAGCCAGUUGGUGCCGACACCGCAGUGACGGCCCUUGUCUCCCGUAUAAUCUUCUUCUCCUCUGCGCUCAUUAAAGGGCUCGAGGAGGGGCCGCGCAUGUUCGUCAUCUCCACCCUGCGUCGCCUGCGCUUCCAGACGCACGUGCUGGAGAGCAUCCACGGCCGCCCCGGCACCCCGGUUGACGCCGCGUUGUGCACGAAGCUGCUGCAGUUGUCGCUGCUGCCCACCGGAGGAGGCGGCUUCAGCGGCGGUAACAGCGCUGUCGCCCCACAUGGCCACGGGGCGCUUGCCUUCUGUCUUGUAACGCCCAACGCAUACCUCUCCACAGCGAUGGAGCUGAUCGCUUCGCGGGAGAGUGGCGAGAUUGUGUUUGCCGUGUACGAGGGCGAUGAGGUGGCCGAGGAACUGCUCGGCUACGCGUCAGCGCGGUACGGCACAACAGGCGGCGUGGCGACAAUGGCGAAGCACGACGGCGUCACGUUUCUGCCUAGCACAGAGGCCGCUGUUGCUGCCUUGGCGCUGGUGCAGCAGCAGGAGAAGGGCAACCUGUCCGUCUCCGCGCUGACAGAGCUAAAGGCGCUUCAGAUGCGCCUGCAGCAGCAGAAGCCGACCACCGGCACCGGUGCAACGGUCGUGAUGCCGAAAGCAUCGACAGCCGCCGCUGUGGCCCCACCUCCGGCGCCCAGGGUGCCUGAAUUGUUUGCGCCACCCAACGGGCCACAGCCGGCGGCGGCAACCUCUCAAAGUAGCAGCAACGCUUCCUCCAGCGGCAUCGCCGACAAGGACCAGGCGAGCGUGCCGGCACUGCCCUUCACCGCCUCUGCAGCAACAGCAACAGCAACAGCAACAGCUGCGCCCUCAUUCUUUGAGACAGGCCUGCUGCACACCGUCACUACCACCACGUCCCCACCGGUGGUGGUGCAGCACGCCUCACCGCCAUCAGCGAUGCCGCCACCGUUGAGCACAUCACCCCUCUCUACCGCCAACGGUGUCGCGGGCGUGGCGGCGUCUCUUGGUGAGCCGAUGGUGUCCACUACCCUGCCAGUCGAGUGGGCCCUCGUCUACGAUGCAGCGCGGCAGCGUCACUACUACGCGUACACGGACACAACAGGGCGGACGCGUUCGACGUGGCAGCACCCGCUGGGGCCACAGAAGCAGUUGGAGCUGGAGGAGCAGGUGCAGGCGUGGCGCGCGGCGCAACUGCAGCCGCAGCUGAACAGUGCGCUACCGGACGGCUGGGAGGAGCGCACGGACCCGCAGACCAGGCGCACCUUUUACGUUGACCACAAAUCGAAGACGACGACGUGGGAGCGUCCACAGCCGAGUGUCGCGGCCCCGCCAAGCGUCGCGAACGUCAGCUCCCAUGCCAGUGGCGGUGGCGCGAUGGCGCUGCCGGCGAUGUGGGAGGCCCGCGUGGACCCUCGCACGGGUCGGACCUUCUACAUCAACCACGAAACCAAGACGACGUCGUGGGAGCGGCCGGCAGUGGCGCCCACACCGCUGCCCGCGGUGCGGCCGUCUAGCGGAAACGUUGAGGCUUGCGGUGACGGCGACUGGGUGCCGUGCGUCGACCCUGCCACCGGCCGCACCUUCUACGUCAAUGACAAGACGCGGCAGACGAGCUGGACCAGGCCAAAGCCGGCGGUACAGGCGCCCCCACCACCGACACCGCCGAACGCGCCAUCGCCGAUGCAGAGUGGGGCGGUUGCGCUGCCGCCACCGUGGGAGGCGCGUGUCGAUCCCGGCACUGGUCGCACCUUCUACAUCAACCACGCCACCAAGACGACCUCGUGGGAACGGCCGACGGUUUGAGCGGCUGCACGACCUCACCGCGCUGCGUGAUUACUCGAGUCUCUUCUUCCGUUCUCUUACGAUGUGUUGCUCCUGUAUGCCCUCGCUGUUGCACCGACACGGCGACGCCUAGGCGUCCCGUGGCAUUGAAAGAGUACGAGAGUCCCCGGCCCCCCCUCCCGUGACCAAGCGCACGCCACACACACACAUGCCGCAAGCGGUGUGCGUCACGCGCGCCCGUACUUGAAGGGCGCCGAUGCGACACACACCGUGCACAGAACCAUGCGGCCAGCCACGCCCACAACACCCCCCAAAAAACCCCCCCCAACCUCUCGCCGGAAAGGCCCUCGGUGCCAGCACACGCCAGCCUAACCCCCGCUUAGGCCUGGUCGGGCGUCGGCGGUAGGGGAGGGGCCAUGCCGCACAUCCCGGGCGCCGUUUCAACGAGCGCUCCUAUAGUGUAGCGGUUAUCACCUCGGACUCUGAAUCCGAUAACCCUGGUUCGAGUCCAGGUAGGAGUGACUUUUUCCCUGAGCACCUCGGCAGCGCAUGGAGGAGGGAUGUGUGUAGAAAAAAGCGUGCGGAGGUGAGAGCGUGUCUUUUUUUUUCUGUGGUGUACGUCGCGUUGGACAGAGAUGGAUGGCGCCAACCCGACAGAGAA